UUCGGCUUAGAGUUUGAUCCUGGCUCAGAUCGAACGCUGGCGGCAGGCUUAACACAUGCAAGUCGAGCGGUAACAGGUCCAGCUUGCUGGAUGCUGACGAGCGGCGGACGGGUGAGUAAUGCAUAGGAAACUGCCCAAUAGUGGGGGAUAGCCCGGGGAAACCCGGAUUAAUACCGCAUACGUCCUACGGGAGAAAGCAGGGGCUCUUCGGACCUUGCGCUAUUGGAUGUGCCUAUGUCGGAUUAGCUAGUUGGUGGGGUAAAGGCCUACCAAGGCGACGAUCCGUAGCUGGUCUGAGAGGAUGAUCAGCCACAUCGGGACUGAGACACGGCCCGAACUCCUACGGGAGGCAGCAGUGGGGAAUAUUGGACAAUGGGGGCAACCCUGAUCCAGCCAUGCCGCGUGUGUGAAGAAGGCUUUCGGGUUGUAAAGCACUUUCAGUGAGGAGGAAAACCUUAUGGUUAAUACCCAUGAGGCUUGACGUUACUCACAGAAGAAGCACCGGCUAACUCCGGCC
RNAcentral lists this ribosomal RNA (517 nucleotides) under bacterium enrichment culture clone NKeF3GL3. Its description in RNAcentral is "bacterial SSU rRNA". It matches the Rfam family "Bacterial small subunit ribosomal RNA", at positions 1 to 509 of the family's 1533-position model. The record is from RNAcentral.